Non-coding RNA from Acanthosepion pharaonis, 100 nucleotides. Lineage: Eukaryota; Metazoa; Mollusca; Cephalopoda; Sepiida; Sepiidae. The record is from the annotation of a GenBank genome assembly.
GCGUUGAAAGACCUGUUCCCGUAUGAUCACCGAAGUUAGGCGACGUUGAGCCUGGUCAGUAGCUAGAUAAGUGACCGUUUGGGAAUACCAGAAGCCGUUA